UACGAAGGGGGCUAGCGUUGCUCGGAAUCACUGGGCGUAAAGCGCACGUAGGCGGAUUGCUAAGUCAGGGGUGAAAUCCUGGAGCUCAACUCCAGAACUGCCUUUGAUACUGGCGAUCUUGAGUCCGGGAGAGGUGAGUGGAACUCCGAGUGUAGAGGUGAAAUUCGUAGAUAUUCGGAGGAACACCAGUGGCGAAGGCGGCUCACUGGUCCGGUACUGACGCUGAGGUGCGAAAGCGUGGGGAGCAAACAGG
RNAcentral lists this ribosomal RNA (253 nucleotides) under uncultured bacterium. RNAcentral describes it as "partial 16S ribosomal RNA". It matches the Rfam family "Bacterial small subunit ribosomal RNA", at positions 524 to 776 of the family's 1533-position model. The record is from RNAcentral.